AUGGCUCGAGAAGUUGGAUGAAAAUUUGGAAAAUUUCCAAAAAGCAAGGCGAGUACACCGUACUCGCGAGCGUGUGGUGUUGCAGUGCCCCCACAACUUUUCCGGUCAACUUUCCGAUGACUCAACUCGACGAGUGCGAUGGCGCGUGGCCCCAGGCCGCCGCUUUGUGACGGCGCAUGAGGGAACCCAAGGUCCCUCCUUAGGUUUUUCGACGUCCCGAAUUUGAAUUUGACGUCUGUAUUCCCAAAUUUAAUUGUUUUAGUAGGGUUUUACUAAUUGUUCCCUUUAUGUGCUUAGGUGUGUUUGUUAGUGGCGAUCCCGUCCUCUCUAGUUUGCACAACUCUUCGGCGACAGAGUAUCUAAUCGAAGCAUAUGAUCUUGGCGUCAGGACAUUUCCGCAUAGGCAUCUUCGAGUCUUCUCAGUAUUCAAAUAACAAAGUUAGCAACAAAGUGCUAUUUGGAGCAUUUUUGGGCCAAAAUUGGA
This 484-nucleotide small RNA is filed under the name Malus domestica (apple). RNAcentral describes it as "sRNA MD08G0144000". Lineage: Eukaryota; Viridiplantae; Streptophyta; Magnoliopsida; Rosales; Rosaceae. The record is from RNAcentral.